RNAcentral lists this microRNA (21 nucleotides) under Nomascus leucogenys (northern white-cheeked gibbon). Its description in RNAcentral is "nle-miR-7180". Lineage: Eukaryota; Metazoa; Chordata; Mammalia; Primates; Hylobatidae. The record is from miRBase by way of RNAcentral.
UGGCCUCUGGCUGUGUACCCU